UCCGCAGUGGUCCAGUGGUUAGGACUCUGCACUUUCACUGCUAAGGGUGCAGGUUUAAUUCCUGGCCAGGGAA
This 73-nucleotide transfer RNA is filed under the name Ovis aries (sheep). It matches the Rfam family "tRNA". Rfam says of the family: Transfer RNA (tRNA) molecules are approximately 80 nucleotides in length. Their secondary structure includes four short double-helical elements and three loops (D, anti-codon, and T loops). Further hydrogen bonds mediate the characteristic L-shaped molecular structure. tRNAs have two regions of fundamental functional importance: the anti-codon, which is responsible for specific mRNA codon recognition, and the 3' end, to which the tRNAs corresponding amino acid is attached (by aminoacyl-tRNA synthetases). tRNAs cope with the degeneracy of the genetic code in two manners: having more than one tRNA (with a specific anti-codon) for a particular amino acid; and 'wobble' base-pairing, i.e. permitting non-standard base-pairing at the 3rd anti-codon position. The record is from Rfam by way of RNAcentral. Lineage: Eukaryota; Metazoa; Chordata; Mammalia; Artiodactyla; Bovidae.